Molecule: ribosomal RNA, 249 nt
Filed under: uncultured bacterium
Lineage: Bacteria
Description: partial 16S ribosomal RNA
Rfam family: Bacterial small subunit ribosomal RNA
Source: RNAcentral
AUACGGAGGAUCCAAGCGUUAUCCGGAUUUAUUGGGUUUAAAGGGAGCGUAGGCCGGAAGUAUAAGCGUGUUGUGAAAAAGUCGAGGCUCAACCUCGGCCUUGCAGCGCGAACUGUUUUUCUUGAGUACGCAGUAGGUAGGCGGAAUUCGUUGUGUAGCGGUGAAAUGCUUAGAUAUGACGAAGAACUCCGAUUGCGAAGGCAGCCUGCCGUAGCGCGACUGACGCUGAUGCUCGAAAGCGUGGGUAUC